Molecule: ribosomal RNA, 253 nt
Filed under: uncultured bacterium
Lineage: Bacteria
Description: partial 16S ribosomal RNA
Rfam family: Bacterial small subunit ribosomal RNA
Source: RNAcentral
UACGUAGGGUGCGAGCGUUAAUCGGAAUUACUGGGCGUAAAGCGUGCGCAGGCGGUUUUGUAAGACAGAUGUGAAAUCCCCGGGCUUAACCUGGGAACUGCAUUUGUGACUGCAAGACUAGAGUACGGCAGAGGGGGGUAGAAUUCCACGUGUAGCAGUGAAAUGCGUAGAUAUGCGGAGGAACACCGAUGGCGAAGGCAAUCCCCUGGACCUGUACUGACGCUCAUGCACGAAAGCGUGGGGAGCAAACAGG